AAUCUUUUUUUUUAAAAGGGAUGCUAUAUUUGUCAAAUGCUUUUUCUGUCAGUUGUCCAUUGAGAAGACCAUAUGGUUGUUGUCUCUUCUCUUAGUACUGUGUUCUAUCACACUCACUGUUUUGUGAAUGUUGACCCACCUUUGCAUCCCAGGGAUAAAUCCCACCUGGUCGUGGUGGAUAAUCCUUCCAAUGUACUGU
Molecule: long non-coding RNA, 199 nt
Organism: Mustela erminea (ermine)
Lineage: Eukaryota; Metazoa; Chordata; Mammalia; Carnivora; Mustelidae
Exons: 3
Source: RefSeq, a predicted model, not a curated record